GGAACAGAAGAGAAGGGUUGAGCAAAAUCUCAUUUCCUAUGCACACUCUUUUCCUCUCGCCACCUGAAAUUCCUCGCACGAAUGUACCUCCGAUCCUUGUGUCUUGACACCUAUAUGCACCGUGAUUAUUAGAGACGAAUGCACAGUCCAGAAUGGGCUAAGCAUAUGUUUGGGCAUCGUUGAUGAAAGUUUACCUUGAGAUAUAUUGGUUAGCAAUGUCUUCAGGUGGCACAGUGAGUCCUGCAGAAGAAAAGAAGCCAAAGCUAGCGCUGGAUGUUCGGCUCAGGGCUCCACCGCUGCUCCGUUCGUCAAUCUGUCCGCUCCUUGAG
Molecule: long non-coding RNA, 329 nt
Organism: Papaver somniferum (opium poppy)
Lineage: Eukaryota; Viridiplantae; Streptophyta; Magnoliopsida; Ranunculales; Papaveraceae
Exons: 3
Source: RefSeq, a predicted model, not a curated record